UGUACACACAAUGCAGCAAACUAGCGAACUGUUGUUGUCCCCCGAGGGGCCUCACCCGGAGGUGGGGCCGCUGAUGGCGUGGCUCGGUCGAGAGGCCGACUCCGUGGGCGUAGCGGUUCCUCGCCGUCAGCUGGAGUGUCUCGUUUUCGCGGGUCUGGUCGUCUGAUGUUGACGUCCCCUAAGGGGGAGUUGGCCUCCGGCGGUCGGGGUCGGGCACUCCCCUCCCCCUUUGUCCCCGUCUUUGGGGUCUCUGGGGCCGUUUUUUCAAAAGCACGUUGAUGAACAUGAAUUUGAGCGACUGAGCCUGGGCCCCUUGCGUUGCCUUUGUGGGUGAUGUAGCCCAAGUCACAAACCAAAAUAACGACUCUCAGCAACGGAUAUCUUGGCUCUUGCAACGAUGAAGAACGCAGCGAAAUGCGAUACCUAGUGUGAAUUGCAGAAUUCCGCGAAUCAUCGAGUCUUUGAACGCAAGUUGCGCCCGAGGCUUGUCCCGAGGGCAUGCCUGCCUGAGCGUCAUCGCACUCCCACCUGGACACUCUCCAGUGUGGAAUGUGGUCGGCUGAAAUGUAUUGUUUCUGGAUGCUCCCGGGGAGAGAGGCCGCGAGAAGGUGAUUCGCUCUUUUUGCUGAGUGGAGUUUUAUUGGACAGCGCCUCUCUCUUGGGUGGUCUAGUCAGCGGCACUGGGCUUGUGCCCUUGGGGAGUGCAAGUAAUGUUGCACCUCCCCUCCCCCAUGUAGCUUGGACCUCAGAUCAGGCAAGAUUACCCGCUGAGUUUAAGCAUAUCACUAAGCGG
Molecule: ribosomal RNA, 793 nt
Filed under: Chiastocaulon dendroides
Lineage: Eukaryota; Viridiplantae; Streptophyta; Jungermanniopsida; Jungermanniales; Plagiochilaceae
Description: eukaryotic LSU rRNA
Rfam family: 5.8S ribosomal RNA (bases 363-516)
Source: RNAcentral